CCUACGGGUGGCAGCAGUGAGGAAUAUUGGUCAAUGGCCGCGAGGCUGAACCAGCCAAGUCGCGUGCGGGAAGACGGCCCUACGAGUUGUAAACCUCUUUUGUCGGGGAGCAAAGCGAGUCACGUGUGACUCGUUGAGAGUACCCGAAGAAAAAGCAUCGGCUAACUCCGUGCCAGCAGCCGCGGUAAUACGGAGGAUGCGAGCGUUAUCCGGAUUUAUUGGGUUUAAAGGGUGCGCAGGGGGAGGGGCAAGGCAGUGGUAAAAGUGCGGGGCUCAACCCCGUACUGCCGUUGAAACUUUACGCCUGGAGUGCGGGAGAGGUAUGCGGAAUGCGUGGUGUAGCGGUGAAAUGCAUAGAUAUCAGGAAGAACACCGAUGGCGAAGGCAGCAUACCGGAGCGCAACUGACGCUGAGGCACGAAAGCGUGGGGAGCGAACAGGAUUAGAUACCCGUGUAGUC
Molecule: ribosomal RNA, 459 nt
Filed under: uncultured bacterium
Lineage: Bacteria
Description: partial 16S ribosomal RNA
Rfam family: Bacterial small subunit ribosomal RNA
Source: RNAcentral